This 1438-nucleotide long non-coding RNA is filed under the name Salvator merianae (Argentine black and white tegu). Its description in RNAcentral is "lncRNA (ENSSMRG00000007686.1)". The record is from RNAcentral. Lineage: Eukaryota; Metazoa; Chordata; Lepidosauria; Squamata; Teiidae.
GUUGCAGCACGCCCUCGGAAUGGCAGGGGAAGCAUCCCGAGGCAUUUCCUGGUCUGACAGGGAGGUGGAGGUGCUCCUGCGGGGCCUGGUCCAGGGCAAUGGGCCCCUAGAAUGGUUAAUGUGCCCAGGGACCCAGAGGAAUGGAUUUUUCUUUGUUGGGGCAUCCCGCUACAUGGCCCGCAAGGGCUUCAAUAGGGACCCUAGGCAAUGCCGCACAAAAUUCAAAAAGCUACNUGCGGCAUACUUUGCCCUCCGUCGGGCUGGACAAGGGCACCCCCCAGAGGAAGAGCACCCUCCAUGNUAUCCAGCCAUGCACCAGAUAUGGAGGGAUGCAGGCCGGCCUCCUGUACCAGGACUACAUGCAGCCACAGGACGUUCCCGGCAGGUGCAGCCAAGGGCCAGACCGGCGGCCAGGGUGGAGGCAGGCACUGCAGAGGCAACAGGCAUGUCGGCCUCAUCCACAGCAUCACAGCAGGAGGAGGAUGUGGAGAGUGACGAGCCGGGACCUGCUGCUCCCACCACCAGGGAACAUUACAGCGAGGGCCCCUCACAUCCCAGGGAGGAGGCCCGGGCCCAGCAGGUGUCGGAGGUGCACUCCCCCACCCUGCAGCCCGGGUGCCAGGGGCCAGCAACACCGGGUCCNUCCAGGGGCAUGGAAGAGCUGCCACCUGCCUUCCAGCAGGCCCCUCCACCAUCUCUGUCAGCAUGGGCGGCCUUUGCCCUUGGGCGACAACAGGCUCCACCACCUGGCACAACCUCCACAGCCACGCAGACUGGUCCAGCCACCAUAGAGGAGCAGCUGCAUGAGCUCAGGGACUGCGUGGAACGGAACAGUGAGUAACCCUUUGCCAUUCCCCAAUGCAUGCUGUCCUGCCAAGGUGCGAAAUGGGAAGGUGCUGUCCUGCCACCAAAGAUGGCCAUGGUCAUCAUGCAGGGCANGCAGGGCGCCGAUGUCUGCCGGCCCAUGCAUGCAUGGUGCUUGCAGAUAGGCCCUGCCUGGCAGCGGGAUUUGGGGAGGGGUUCAAUGUUAGCCCCCAUGAGAGGUGGCACGGCACAUACAUGGNGGGUUUGCCCCAUGUCCCUAGGAAGACAUUGCAUGGUCUGUCCCCUGUGCCACACUCAAUGCACAAUCNNUGUGCCUUCCCUGUCCACAGCUGCUCUGCUGGGCCAUGUCAUCUGACGGCAGGACCGGAUCCUGGACCUCCUUGAGCAGCAAUGGAGGCAUUCGGUGCAGACAGGAGGGGGGUCUGCCUCCAGCUCCCCAGGCACACGCUGGCAAGGCCCGUAAGGCACAUGGCCCGGGACAUGGACAAUCAUACAGCAGGCCGCAUGUGGAGCAACAUGUGGCUGCUGAGCACAUAAAUGGUAGGGCACUUUAUUUUAUUUUCUGGAACAUAGCUCUUUAUUUGUGUUAUGAAUAAAUUUUUUGCUUGUUACA